GAGUAACGCGUGAGGAACCUGCCUCAAANAGGGGGACAACAUUGGAAACGACUGCUAAUACCGCAUAAGCGCACAGCUUCGCAUGAAGCAGUGUGAAAAACUCCGGUGGUACAAGAUGGACCCGCGUCUGAUUAGCUGGUUGGUGAGGUAACGGCCCACCAAGGCGACGAUCAGUAGCCGGCCUGAGAGGGUGAACGGCCACAUUGGGACUGAGACACGGCCCAAACUCCUACGGGAGGCAGCAUG
This 246-nucleotide ribosomal RNA is filed under the name uncultured bacterium. RNAcentral's name for it is "partial 16S ribosomal RNA". It matches the Rfam family "Bacterial small subunit ribosomal RNA", at positions 108 to 353 of the family's 1533-position model. The record is from RNAcentral.